Molecule: ribosomal RNA, 869 nt
Filed under: Bacillus subtilis
Lineage: Bacteria; Bacillati; Bacillota; Bacilli; Caryophanales; Bacillaceae
Description: bacterial SSU rRNA
Rfam family: Bacterial small subunit ribosomal RNA
Source: RNAcentral
UCAGGACGAACGCGGCGGCGUGCUAAUACAUGCAAGUCGAGCGGACAGAUGGGAGCUUGCUCCUGAUGUUAGCGGCGGACGGGUGAGUAACACGUGGGUAACUGCCUGUAAGACUGGGAUAACUCCGGGAAACCGGGGCUAAUACCGGAUGGUUGUUUGAACCGCAUGGUUCAAACAUAAAAGGUGGCUUCGGCUACCACUUACAGAUGGACCCGCGGCGCAUUAGCUAGUUGGUGAGGUAAUGGCUCACCAAGGCAACGAUGCGUAGCCGACCUGAGAGGGUGAUCGGCCACACUGGGACUGAGACACGGCCCAGACUCCUACGGGAGGCAGCAGUAGGGAAUCUUCCGCAAUGGACGAAAGUCUGACGGAGCAACGCCGCGUGAGUGAUGAAGGUUUUCGGAUCGUAAAGCUCUGUUGUUAGGGAAGAACAAGUACCGUUCGAAUAGGGCGGUACCUUGACGGUACCUAACCAGAAAGCCACGGCUAACUACGUGCCAGCAGCCGCGGUAAUACGUAGGUGGCAAGCGUUGUCCGGAAUUAUUGGGCGUAAAGGGCUCGCAGGCGGUUUCUUAAGUCUGAUGUGAAAGCCCCCGGCUCAACCGGGGAGGGUCAUUGGAAACUGGGGAACUUGAGUGCAGAAGAGGAGAGUGGAAUUCCACGUGUAGCGGUGAAAUGCGUAGAGAUGUGGAGGAACACCAGUGGCGAAGGCGACUCUCUGGUCUGUAACUGACGCUGAGGAGCGAAAGCGUGGGGAGCGAACAGGAUUAGAUACCCUGGUAGUCCACGCCGUAAACGAUGAGUGCUAAGUGUUAGGGGGUUUCCGCCCCUUAGUGCUGCAGCUAACGCAUAAGCACUCCGCCUGGAGA